UUUGAAUGUUGAGCAAGCACACCCCAUUAUGCCCACCCAAGCUGUGCACUCACAACAUGCAACUAAUGAUGGAAAGUUUUCGUUACUAAAAGUUUAGCAGUUGCAUUACCACUUCGCAUUAGACUUUUGCCCUGGAUAACUCAACGUGGUGCCUGCUUAAGCAGCUGCACACUCUACAGUCAGACUGAGUAGAUGAGCAGAGUAGAUUAACAGAUUAUCAAGGAAUUUUCUGCCUUUUUUCUGCCUCUUUUCUGCUAAACAGAGUCCUCUUAUUACAUUGCCAGGAGCCUGACACUGAAAUAUUUUGCUGUGAUUGAUAUAACACUAACAUACCGACACCAAAUAAAGAUGAGUUCACCUGCUUGAACCACUGUAUUUAUAAACGUAGCAAGAAUACCUAGAUAGGGCAAUGGCCACCAAGAGACUAACAGCUAUUGAUUUUAAGUCACAGCUACUAAAAUAGCAGCUUCAUCAAAAUGAACAAUUAUUAAUUUCAGUUAAGGAAUUUGAGAAAUCACAUCACAUUUGGUAAAAACUAGAAAAUAACAAUGUUAGAACACCAACUCGCAUGUGUCAGGAAACAAAAGUGAAAAAAGUUACCCAGUAUUUUUUGGUGUAUAUAUAUAAAUAGUGGCCAGAUCAAUUAACGGCUACUCUUUAAGAAAAGGAUUAUGUUGACUUCCCUGGACAAAUAAAGGCCACUAUACAGAGAUAUGCAGGCUAACAGGGAGAAAAAUUUACAACUCCACGUUGGAAAUGUUCUUCAAUGUUUUAAAGCUAGCUGAAGUAGAAAAAAAAUCUUUGUUUUAGAACAGGGACGAUUAAAACACAGCUCUUCAGUGGCAUCCUGGGUGGGGCCCAAUCCAGUGCCAUUCCCUGGAUGCAGUGCAAGUAUGCUGCUGAGCACCAGCUGCCACAAGCACCCCAACCACAGCACAGUUCUCCUCAAGCUGCUGCUGCUGCACUGUCCUGUGAUGCUAUAAGAGCCCAGAAACAGGGCUCUCGGAGGAGGAUGUUGUCUCCUGCUCAGGGACCAUUUCCAGAUUUCGUCCUUCCUCAGAUUCCAAAGGAAACUGUAAUUCAUUCCUGAAUAUACAUUGAUGAACCAGUCAAAACAUACAUCUGAAAGUGAAACUCGGUCUGACAAGAAAGGUUAAGAUGGAAAAAAAAAUCAAUUAUUUUACCCCGAGGCUUUUUUUUUUUUGGACAGGGGAACACCUCAGAUCAUGUAAGUACUCCAUUUGGUAGGGUCUAUUUUAUAAAUUACCAUCAGACUUUCAAACAAAGGUCACAGAACUCUCUCAAUAAUGCUAAAUGUUAAACCUCCCAGUGAAGGUGGAAACCACAACACAAGCUAUAAAUUUAAAAGUAAAAUUAUCUUACACAAAAGUAGACUAAUAAAUAACUUCAGGGGCAUGUAAAGUAAAAACUG
RNAcentral lists this long non-coding RNA (1432 nucleotides) under Anser brachyrhynchus (Pink-footed goose). RNAcentral describes it as "lncRNA (ENSABRG00000015121.1)". Lineage: Eukaryota; Metazoa; Chordata; Aves; Anseriformes; Anatidae. The record is from RNAcentral.